This 324-nucleotide long non-coding RNA is filed under the name Bos indicus x Bos taurus (hybrid cattle). RNAcentral's name for it is "lncRNA (ENSBIXG00000005603.1)". Lineage: Eukaryota; Metazoa; Chordata; Mammalia; Artiodactyla; Bovidae. The record is from RNAcentral.
GGAAGGACAAGCCUAGAACAGGAUAAAAAAUCGAUCCGGAAAUGCUGUAAUGGGUCCACAGCUAAGUUAUCUCAAGGACCAAAGCUAUUUGAAUCACAACUGGAAACUACCGAGGGAUUGUUCCUUCUCUGGGCUCCAGUGAAAGGCAGUGGUCAUCCUUGUCAUUCAGUAAGUAAGUCAGAGUAGUCUUCUUAAUGUAGAAUAUGCUGUUUCCAGAAUCUGAAAAUGUGAACCAGACAUUGUGUGCCUCUCUUUGGAGGAUCUGAGAUGCAAAAUUUUCUUCUUUAUUUUGAGAGGAUGGCACAGCACGCCACAGACUACGAG